GAUGAACGCUGGCGGCGUGCCUAACACAUGCAAGUCGAGCGAACGGACGAGGAGUUUGCGUGGUGCAUGUGAGGGGCGCACGGGUGAGACACACGAGUAUAAUGCACUUAUCUUACGGAGAAAACUUGGGGAAAGCGGAUCAAAUAGCGGAUAAGAUUCUGAAGCGCAGGGUUGGAAGGAGAAAGACGGUGUUGGGGUCUCGUAUAGAUGGAUCCGCGCUGCUUUGGCUAGUUGGUAAGGUAACGGCUUACCAAGGCAACGAUGCAUAGCCGAGCUCAGAGGGUGGUCGCCCGCACUGGAACUGAGACGCGGACCAGACUCCUACGGGAGGCAGCAGUAGCGUAUCUGACGCAGUAGGCGAAAACAUUACGGAGCAGCGCCGAGUGUGUGAUGAAGGUCUUCGGAUCGUGAAACUCUGUUAUUGGGGAAGAACAUAUGUGUAAGUAACUGUGCACAGAUUGACGGUAACUAGUCAGAAAGCACCGGCUAACUACGUG
This 497-nucleotide ribosomal RNA is filed under the name uncultured bacterium. RNAcentral's name for it is "partial 16S ribosomal RNA". It matches the Rfam family "Bacterial small subunit ribosomal RNA", at positions 28 to 507 of the family's 1533-position model. The record is from RNAcentral.